UACGGAGGGUGCAAGCGUUAUCCGGAUUUACUGGGUUUAAAGGGUGCGUAGGUGGAUUUGUAAGUCAGUGGUGAAAUCUCCGAGCUUAACUCGGAAACUGCCAUUGAUACUAUAAGUCUUGAAUUAUAUGGAGGUGAGCGGAAUAUGUCAUGUAGCGGUGAAAUGCUUAGAUAUGACAUAGAACACCAAUUGCGAAGGCAGCUCACUACGUAUAUAUUGACACUGAGGCACGAAAGCGUGGGGAUCAAACAGG
This 253-nucleotide ribosomal RNA is filed under the name uncultured bacterium. Its description in RNAcentral is "partial 16S ribosomal RNA". It matches the Rfam family "Bacterial small subunit ribosomal RNA", at positions 524 to 776 of the family's 1533-position model. The record is from RNAcentral.